UGUCGCAACAAGAAUCCUGCACCCCC
Molecule: non-coding RNA, 26 nt
Filed under: Cricetulus griseus (Chinese hamster)
Lineage: Eukaryota; Metazoa; Chordata; Mammalia; Rodentia; Cricetidae
Source: RNAcentral